This 5113-nucleotide long non-coding RNA is filed under the name Fukomys damarensis (Damara mole-rat). RNAcentral's name for it is "lncRNA (ENSFDAG00000027564.1)". Lineage: Eukaryota; Metazoa; Chordata; Mammalia; Rodentia; Bathyergidae. The record is from RNAcentral.
UGACCGCGUCCCGGCGCCACCUCGCGCCCAGCCGGGGCCACCUCGAGCCCCGCAGAUCGGAGACGCUGAGGCCCAGUGGAGUACAAGGGGUUGGACCGGGGUCCGACGAAGCGGGACAGCGCUUUGCAGAGGCCCAGAAAGCCCGUCUACCCUCCCAGCACCCAGCUGCCUGAGCUAUAGAAAAGGGGUACAACGAGGGGAGAUGGAUCAAGGCAGACCCGUCCCCAGGGACACUCGGCCCCGAAGUCGCACGCACACAGCGACACCCAACUGUCCCCUGGGACGCAGCCCCACGAUACAGUUUCGCAUUCACCAGCCACCCACCCAACACACAACCUGCCACUGCCUCACGCGAGGACACCCCACGGUCACCCAGGGACGCACAGCGCGGACACUUUCCCGCUGCCGCCCCGCAGGACGCGCGGUACCGUGACCCAGGCGCACCAUGCUGUCGCGCAGCCACACAAAGCGCAGACCACACACACAAAACACACAGCACACGUGGACUCGCAGACACCCACGGUCGCGCGUGGAGAGGACCGGGACAAGGCAGGACCCGCGCGCACAGGUCCUUCCUUCCAGGCACAAGGCACCAUUGGCCCUUCCUUCCUAGGCUGCGAGGCGGUGUCUCUGAUUGGCCCUUCCUUCCGGUUGCCCUGGGAUUCCAUCCUCUGUCCUGGUGCCCGGUUCGGAGCUGCUUUGGUGAGUUUCCUGGCGGCGUCCUCGGGGCCCAGGCACGCUGCCCAGCCAUUGUGCAACCAGGGCUCACCCUGGCCCUUCUGCCAAGUCCCAGUAGCCCAGGCAAGGCGGGGCUGCGGCCUGCCCACCCAUGCCCAGGGGUGCUCAGCACCUGCCCCGUUGGCUGUGCCUCCCUGCCCCUCCCUGAGCUUUAAUCCUCUCUUGUGCUACCCUGCAAUGUUGGAUGUUAAUGAGGCUAGAUGGGGUGUUUUUCUCCUCCUGGGGACACGUGGCCAUGUCUGGGGACAUCUUUGGCUGUCACUGCUGAGGGGUGGGCGGGUACCACUGAUGCCGGAUGUGAGGAUCAGGUCUGCAUUGUACAGUGCUGCUCUUCACCCAACAAGCACUUGUGUAUUCAUUCAACAAACACUGACCUGCGUCUGUGGGCCAAGCCCUUAUAGACAGACCUUGUAGGUCCUGAUGGCUUCGGGACAUGGGGACAAUCACAAGCUUGUCGUGCACCUGCCGUGUGCCAGGCGCUGCCAUAUGAAUCUGAUCCCGUAAAUCCCUGUGUGGCCCAUUGUACAGAUGUGUAAACCGAGGGUCGAAGUCACACGCUCUCCUGUGGCCACCUGGUCCGACCCCUGGCAAGAGAGACCAGGGCUAGACAGCUGGGAGGACGGCCCAGCCUUGGCUCUGUGAGGAGGCGAUGUAUCCGGCCUCUCUCCCUCCCUGGACCCAUUUCCUGUCUUCAACAGCGGUUUUCAUUGUUCUUUUUUUUUUUUUUCUUGUUUUUUUUUGAGCCAGUCUGGCUACGUACCCCACGCUGGCCUCAAACUCGAGGUGAUCCUCCUGCCUCAGCCUCCUGAGUGCUGGGAUUACAGGCCUGCACCACCCCCACCCCCGGCUGCGUCCUUGAAAGUGAAACAGAGCCAAAAAGCAAGGGGUUGAGACCCUUCUGGGCAAGGUAGGGAAACUGAGGCUGGCGGAGCCACAGCUGCUGAACCCUCCGAGGCCCCCAGAUGUGGAAAGCACUGUGUCUGGGCGUCCGGCCGAGCCAGCCUGGAGUCCCGGCUUCCCUGAGCACGCGCUGAGUGACUCUGGACAAAGCUUUGGAACUGGACCCACCUUGGCACAUGUGGGAGGGCAAAGCCAAGGGGCGCACGGAGUCACUUCCAGGCCCGGCGUGGGCGCCCCGGGUGUGGGCGCAGGUGCCAUCUGGAGCCGGGAGCUGCCCGCACACGCCGGGUCCCCGUGCCUGCCUGGCACAUCUCUCUGCGUGUCUCCUUUGUGCGGAGAAACUGAGGCACAGGGGCCUUCCAGCGGGGCGCAGGAUGACUUGGAGUGUGCAGACUCUGCCCGGGCCGCUCCGUAUUCGAACAUUUCCCCGGCCGAGCGGCUCCCAGAGUGCUGUGAAGUCUCACACGGAUUGCUUCUCUUCUGGGCCUCAGUUUCCCCAUUUAUAAAAUGGGGACUUUUUUCCAUAAUGCUGGAGACUGAUGCUGGGGCCUGCGCACUGAACCCCAUCCCCGGCCCUUUUUAGUUUUUAUUAUUUUGGAGACGGUGUCUCGCCAGGUCACUUGGUUGCCAAGAAUGAGGUUGAGGAGCCGCAAGCCAGGGGCCAAACUUUCCGCUGAAAGGAACAAGCAGGCCAGGGCCUGGGCAGCAGGGACCAGAGACGGCCGGACGGCGGCCCAGGGCACACAGCGCGGUGGCCCAGGGCUGGAGGCCGGGGCGAGGGUCAGAUCCCUGUGCCAGGGCGGGCAGGGAGGAGGUGGGGAGCGGGCGGCUGGUGCCAGGGUGGGUGGGUAACGACAGGAAGUCGGUUACACACAGUCGUUGGCACAGUGAUUUCCGGAUCUGCUGUGGGUUCUUGGGGGGGGGUUGCCAGGCACCCCAACCCCGCCGCCCACCCUGCAGAAGGGAGACUGAGGCUGCUCUGAACUGGAGCCUCCUGGGGGCUGUGCCGGGCAGGUGAGGAGGAGGCCGGGCUGCCACGUGAGCCAGAGGACGGGUCCAGGGCUGUGAGGCCCGGUCGGGGACAGGACACUGCGUGAGAGCCACCCCGGCCAGGCAAAAGUCACAGUUCGGGGGGGGCAGCCCCAUGAGAUCCCCUCCUGGGGCCCCAGCAACUCAAAGGUAGGGGCUCUGUCUGUUGUUUUUCCUUUUUCAGUUGUGUGUGUGAGACAGAGGAUGGAAACCGGGCCUGGGCACUGAGCUCCAUCCCGUCUUCUGUGUUUCAUCCUGAGACAGUCUCGCUAAACUGCCCAGGCUGGGCCCCACCUUGCGACCUUCCUGCCUCGGCCUCCUGGAAGGCUGGACUGACAGGUGUGCACCCCUGACCAGGCUUCCCAGUCUGCUUUACCACUGGACCCCUGGCGACCGGCCCCGGGGCCCUCGCACACUGGAGGUCUGAGGACAGCGGAGUCAUGUGUGGAUCAAGGGGUCUCUCCGGACCGCGCUCUGGGCCGUGACAUUUUCCGCACAACUUUGGGGAGGAAGGAGACCGUUUCAUGGCUCCCGUUUCUCCGAGGGGGAAACUGAGGCACAGAGUCACCUUGACAGAGAGCCACAGAGCUGAGAUUGGAACGCGGCACCACCUGGCGUCAGAGGCGUCUUGCUGGGUUGCCGCUGAUCAGUUUCUCCCAGGCGUCUCUGAGCCCAGGACUUGAGGACACAAGCAGGGCAGACGAGGGCCCUGGAUCUUCUCCCCGCACGCCCGACGGGUCCUCUAGGAACCCGGCCUGGUCACAGGCUGGUGGCCGUGGUGCCCUUCUGUAGCGCGCAGCCUGGACUCUGGUUUUUAUCACCCAGUCUGGGGACCAGGUCUGAGCCCCGCUGGGAGGACGGGGCUGCGGCCACACAGUUGCCAGCUGCUGCUCCCCACAACCAUCGCUCAGCUCCAGGAUGUGGGGGAGAGAUCUUUUCCCUCGUGCUUCGAUCUUUGGUUCCCCUCUGCCUUUCAGAUGAAAUCCACUUUCUUUCCUGCACCCCACGGAGCCCGGCACAGCAUGCCCAUCCCCUCCCCACCUCCCAUCCUCCCUCUCUGCCCUUUUCACUGCUCUGGCAACACACCCAGCUCUGUGCUGUCCCAGGGCCUUUGCACAGGCGUGCUGUCUGCCACAAACAGUUGCCUGGUUUCUUCAGAGCCAUUUUCUUCUCUUCUAGAUGCCUCUUCUGUGAGGCCUUUCCCUCCCUUCGCACUGCCCACCUACGAUCUCCUACUGCUCUGGUUUUAAAGUCUCAGCUUUCACCCUUGUCUGAAUUACACCUAACUUGUACAACUGUCUUGGCCACUGUGUUUCCAGGCCUGGGAAAAGGGCUCAGCACCCAGUAGGAACUUGAUAAACAUCUACACCAAAGGGUCAGUAAAUUCAGAGUCGGGGGUCCAGUCUGGCCCACGACCUGUCUUUAUAAAUAAAGUUUUAUUGGCACACAACCACACCCACUCGUUUGAUGUUUUUAGAGCGUUGUUUACCUGGCGACGGCAGAGAGAAGCGGUCUCAGUGGAGACUGUCUGUCCCUCCAAGCGCAAAAUAUUUAUCAUCUCCCCCUUGUGGAAGAAGUCUGCUGACUCUUGCUUUAGACAGAGGGAGAGGAAAUCCAAAGCAACGCUCAUCAAGUGAGGAAUGGGCAAAGAAAUCACAGUAUCCACGCACAGUGGAAUACUACUCUGCCAUGAAGAAGGAGACCUUUGAGUUGUUCGUAGAAAAACGGAUGCACCCCGAUACCAUAAUGUUAGGGAGGGGAAGGGAAAGGAAAAAAUAUGAGAUAAGAAAUACAUGGAAACCAAGCUUUUGCAAAUGGGGAGGGGUGGAGGGGAUGAAAGGAGGGCAGGGGUAUGGGAGAAAACGAGAAGCAAGACCUGUCAUGUAAAGGUACAAGUUCCCCAUGAUGAAAGUAAAUCUACUGUAUGCCUAAAAUGUGCCACUAAAAUGAUUUAAGGGAGAGAAAAACACCCACAACAAAUCAGACACUGAAGAGUAAAUAUCACAUGGGUUCUCUUACCUGAGAAAGCAAAAAUAAAAAUAACUUGAAGAGCAAAAUAAAAAGAAGAUGAGAGAAAACAGGGAGGUGGACUUUAUGGGGGUGGGAAAGGGAGCCCGGGGUUAGGGGAGAGAGGAGGGUGGGGAGGGAAGUGAAAAGGAUUAAGGUGGGUAAUGUAUCAAUUCCUCACAAUUAAUUUAUGUAUUGUCUAUCACAAACAUAUACUGAUUAUAAAAGUUUAACUCCAGCCAGGUAUGGUGGCGCACACCUAUCAUCCCAGCAGUGAGGAGGCUGAUGCAGGAGGAUCUCCAUGAGUUCGAGGCCAGCCUGGCUCCAUAGUGAGACUCUGUCUAAGAAAACAAACAAAAACUCCAAAAUCUGAAGCCCAGGCAGGCAUUAUGAGCUGCGACAGCGGCCCUGGACCUGAACACACCACACUCACUUGGCC